RNAcentral lists this ribosomal RNA (572 nucleotides) under uncultured fungus. RNAcentral's name for it is "eukaryotic LSU rRNA". The stretch from base 210 to 363 matches the Rfam family "5.8S ribosomal RNA". The record is from RNAcentral. Lineage: Eukaryota; Fungi.
CUUGGUCAUUUAGAGGAAGUAAAAGUCGUAACAAGGUUUCCGUAGGUGAACCUGCGGAAGGAUCAUUACCUAGAGUUGUAGGCUUUGCCUGCUAUCUCUUACCCAUGUCUUUUGAGUACCUUACGUUUCCUCGGUGGGUUCGCCCACCGAUUGGACAAAUUUAAACCCUUUGCAGUUGAAAUCAGCGUCUGAAAAAACUUAAUAGUUACAACUUUCAACAACGGAUCUCUUGGUUCUGGCAUCGAUGAAGAACGCAGCGAAAUGCGAUAAGUAGUGUGAAUUGCAGAAUUCAGUGAAUCAUCGAAUCUUUGAACGCACAUUGCGCCCCUUGGUAUUCCAUGGGGCAUGCCUGUUCGAGCGUCAUUUGUACCUUCAAGCUCUGCUUGGUGUUGGGUGUUUGUCUCCUGUAGACUCGCCUUAAAACAAUUGGCAGCCGGCGUAUUGAUUUCGGAGCGCAGUACAUCUCGCGCUUUGCACUCAUAACGACGACAUCCAAAAGUACAUUUUUACACUCUUGACCUCGGAUCAGGUAGGGAUACCCGCUGAACUUAAGCAUAUCAAUAAGCGGAGGA